This 1303-nucleotide ribosomal RNA is filed under the name Mycobacterium simiae. RNAcentral's name for it is "bacterial SSU rRNA". It matches the Rfam family "Bacterial small subunit ribosomal RNA", at positions 62 to 1378 of the family's 1533-position model. Lineage: Bacteria; Bacillati; Actinomycetota; Actinomycetes; Mycobacteriales; Mycobacteriaceae. The record is from RNAcentral.
UCGAACGGAAAGGCCCCUUCGGGGGUACUCGAGUGGCGAACGGGUGAGUAACACGUGGGUAAUCUGCCCUGCACUUCGGGAUAAGCCUGGGAAACUGGGUCUAAUACCGGAUAGGACCACUUGGCGCAUGCCUUGUGGUGGAAAGCUUUUGCGGUGUGGGAUGGGCCCGCGGCCUAUCAGCUUGUUGGUGGGGUGACGGCCUACCAAGGCGACGACGGGUAGCCGGCCUGAGAGGGUGUCCGGCCACACUGGGACUGAGAUACGGCCCAGACUCCUACGGGAGGCAGCAGUGGGGAAUAUUGCACAAUGGGCGCAAGCCUGAUGCAGCGACGCCGCGUGGGGGAUGACGGCCUUCGGGUUGUAAACCUCUUUCAGCAGGGACGAAGCGCAAGUGACGGUACCUGCAGAAGAAGCACCGGCCAACUACGUGCCAGCAGCCGCGGUAAUACGUAGGGUGCGAGCGUUGUCCGGAAUUACUGGGCGUAAAGAGCUCGUAGGUGGUUUGUCGCGUUGUUCGUGAAAACCGGGGGCUUAACCCUCGGCGUGCGGGCGAUACGGGCAGACUGGAGUACUGCAGGGGAGACUGGAAUUCCUGGUGUAGCGGUGGAAUGCGCAGAUAUCAGGAGGAACACCGGUGGCGAAGGCGGGUCUCUGGGCAGUAACUGACGCUGAGGAGCGAAAGCGUGGGGAGCGAACAGGAUUAGAUACCCUGGUAGUCCACGCCGUAAACGGUGGGUACUAGGUGUGGGUUUCCUUCCUUGGAAUCCGUGCCGUAGCUAACGCAUUAAGUACCCCGCCUGGGGAGUACGGCCGCAAGGCUAAAACUCAAAGGAAUUGACGGGGGCCCGCACAAGCGGCGGAGCAUGUGGAUUAAUUCGAUGCAACGCGAAGAACCUUACCUGGGUUUGACAUGCACAGGACGCCGGCAGAGAUGUCGGUUCCCUUGUGGCCUGUGUGCAGGUGGUGCAUGGCUGUCGUCAGCUCGUGUCGUGAGAUGUUGGGUUAAGUCCCGCAACGAGCGCAACCCUUGUCUCAUGUUGCCAGCGGGUAAUGCCGGGGACUCGUGAGAGACUGCCGGGGUCAACUCGGAGGAAGGUGGGGAUGACGUCAAGUCAUCAUGCCCCUUAUGUCCAGGGCUUCACACAUGCUACAAUGGCCGGUACAAAGGGCUGCGAUGCCGCAAGGUUAAGCGAAUCCUUUUAAAGCCGGUCUCAGUUCGGAUCGGGGUCUGCAACUCGACCCCGUGAAGUCGGAGUCGCUAGUAAUCGCAGAUCAGCAACGCUGCGGUGAAUACGUUCCCGGG